Molecule: long non-coding RNA, 5254 nt
Filed under: Sus scrofa (pig)
Lineage: Eukaryota; Metazoa; Chordata; Mammalia; Artiodactyla; Suidae
Description: lncRNA (ENSSSCG00000056459.1)
Source: RNAcentral
GAAUUAGAUGACAAGCUCUACUUCUGUUAUUAGUUGUUUGAUUUGGGGAAACUCAUUCAGCCUCUCUGGGCCUAGUUUUCCCAUGAAUUUUAAAUUAACGGGCUUUUCUUCAGGCUUCCUACUAGCUUUGUUACUGAAUCAAACUUGGGUCCGCUUGCCUGCUGCAAGUAAGGCCAAUUUACUGACAUCAGAAUGCGAUAAAGGAAAGUACAGCGUUUACUACAGGGCUCAGAAAGGAGUAUGGGUGGCUAUGCUCAAAAGACCUGAACUCCUCUGUGGUUUUCAAGGGAGUGUUUUUAAAAGCAACACUUGAGGAGUUCCUACUGUGGCACAGAAGAAAUUAAUCUAAGUAGUAUUUAUGAGGAUGUGGGUUUGAUCUCUGGCCUUGCUCAUGGGUUAAGGAUCCGGCGUUGCCGUGAGCUGUGCUAUAGGUAGCAGAUGCCGCUUAGAUCCCACGUUCCUGUGGCUCUGGCGUUGGCCAACACCUUCAGCUUCGAUUCAGCCCCUAGCCUGGGAACCUCCAUAUGCCUUAGGUGUGGCCCUAAAAGAAAGGAAAAAUACCAAAAAAAAAAAAAAAACCCACAAAUUUUUUAAACACAUUUUGUGCUUGAAAUUUGUCUCUUUGAACAUCUAUUACCCCAAAAAUUUUAGAAAUUGCACUUUUGAAAUUUCUUGAGGUGAAAAUUUUGGAGUUACCUAAAACAAAGUCAUUGACCUUAUUUUAUAGUCUUGCAAAACUGAGCCAUAAAAGUAUCUGAAUUACGCCUUCAAAUGUUAGAAGAAAAUCUUAUUAAAGAUGUUUGAGAGGAUGUAAAAUACUUGAGAGUAGAGUCCAUAUUUACUUUUUCUUUGUAUUUUUAUAGCAAGAUUUCCCAAAGUUUCUAAGAAUCCCCUGCAGUGAGUACUAAAUUGUGAUGCACUUAUUUCUAGCCUCACUAAAUAAAAAUUUCCAAGAGAUUUUUCUCACAAAAAUGAUUCUAAUGGUUAGGAACAUUUAAGUAAAUUAUUCUACAUUUCACAUAAUGUUCAGUAUAGAGAAGUUGGUCAACUGUUGACCCAACAAACGAGAGAAGAAUGAAUGACCAAAAUCUAUCAUGUAAGUGGUAAAUUACCACUUAUGCAACUACAAAUAGAAUGCGUUAAUUUCAGAAUCUAAAAUUUAGAUUUUUUUGUGCCACCAUCUCAUAUCUGUAUCCAGGUUAAAGGUCAUAAAAGAGCCCUUUCCCGCCAUCUGCCUUUAGGUUCCACAAGGCCAAGAUCUGUUAGACACUAUUAUAUCCUCAGGGCCUAAAAUAGCAAUUAAUGCCUCUAUAUAUGACAUGUAAGUAUUGGAUGAUUUUAAUUUAAUUGCAGUGCAGUGCUUAUAUGACAAUCGGGCUAGUUUAAUGGUAAAUAAUGAUUUUGCCAGUCACCUGAAAUGCCUCUACCCAAGGUUUUCUUCAACUCAGUCUAACUGGGUUUAAUUUCCAGGUCCCCAGAUUUAACUGUACAUUUCUUUUGAAGAAAAACUCUGAUCCUAGAUCAUUGAAAUUUUUUGACCAAAUACAUCUCUAAGCAAUUAUCAAUCAUCUGGACAUGCCUCUUGGGAGUUUAUGUGCUGCAGUGUCCUUUAGGGGGUUAUGAAAAUGUGUCUGUCAUAGUAUCCUAAGCUUUCUGUUCCCAUGGAGAGAUUUUAUUUCAUUCUCCUUGUUUAAAACUGUAUUCUGGUCAUCUGCUUUCCAAGCAAAUUUUUCCCCUUUCUUCCUUCUUCUUGCCUUCUCCUUUUUUUUCUUCCCUCUUUUUUCUUUCUUUCCUAGUCUCUCCUUCUCUCCCUCUACUCUUUCUCCUCAUCCCCCUGCAAGUUUUUCCCCUUCUCUUUUUUUCUUCUUCCAGUUUCCCCCUUCUUCCUCUUCCAAAGCCAUGGGGUACAUAAUAGAUAAAAGGAAACCAUUCUGUUUCGAAUUAUCCAUUUGCCUAACCUGUGGGCAUGAAGAUCAAAGGCACUAGAAAGAUUUGCUGGACUCUGUAGGGAGGCUGUGCCCACUUACUGGGUCUUUUCCUACAAAUUUUCUUUGAAAGUCCCUUGCAGAAAGGGAAAUUUUUGGAGUUGGAGGGAUAAGAGUAAGCAGUGGAAAUUUAACCACAAUGUGCUGGAGCACUGGGUACAAAUUGAGUCAGGGACACUAUUGACAAAGGGAGAGAGGCAGAACAAAGAAGGGGAAAACUGCCAAUGCCUGAGAGAAAGGGAAAUUUAAGAGCAUAGUAGGGUGCUUGAGGAGAGAGUAGAAAGUAUAGUGUUCUUAAGGAACUUUGAUUUAAAAAAAAAAAAAAAACAAAACCAAGGUUUAGAAAUAUGUACACAAUAGAAACUUUAAAAAGAGUCUAAAAAGAGGUAUUUAGUGGCCAAAUAUGUAAUCAAAGCUAGAUGUUUACUUCCCACUAAGUGUGUACAGAAUCAUUCUAGCAGAAAAAGUAAAGCAUGUCUUUUCAUGAGAAGGUAGGAAAAAAAAUUUUUUUCAGGAAAAGACUAUGGAUAAAUUCAUUGUAUUCCUAAGGAAGAGAGUGGUCUCAGCCCAUUUUAACUCUGUUCACCUACUAAAUUCACAACCUUGAGAAAACAGCCAAAUCUCAUUUUCUAUAAUAUAAAGGCUAUCUUACCUUAAUUUUGGAACUGUUGGAAGAAAUAAGUGAGCUGGAGUUCCCGUCGUGGCUCAGUGGUUAACAAAUCCGACUGGGAACCAUGGGGUUGCAGGUUUGAUCCCUCGCCUUGCUCAGUGGGUUAAGGAUCUGGCAUUGCCAUGAGCUGUGGUGUAGGCCAGCGGCUACAGCUCCGAUUAGAUCCCUAGCCUGGGAACCUCCAUAUGCCGUGGGAGUGGCCCAAAAAAUGGCAAAAAGACAAAAAAAAAAAAAAGUGAGUUGAUAUUUGCCUAUAGGUGAUAAUAUUUUUAUAUAUUAGUGAUGUAUUUUCCUUCUCAGAGAUAACUUAGCACAACAUCAAAACCAAAAAGGAUAAUUCUUGUUUUUUGGGCACCAGAGAUUUGAAGGACUAUGUGCUGAAUCUGAUUUUUCUGCACAGAGGCUAAAGUAUACCUUGGGGUAGGAGAAAAAUGGGCAAGUUAGAAAGUGAAGUACUAAUGUGGAUAAGAAAGUAAUUCCUGGAGUUUCCGUGGUGGCUAAGUGGUAGUGAACCCAACUAGUAUCCAUGAGGAUGUGGGUUCGAUCCCUGGCCUUGCUCAGAGGGUUGAGGACCUGGUGUUGCUGUGAGCUAUGGUAUGGCUCAGAUCCCACAUGGCUGUGGCUGUGGCGUAGGUGAGCAGCUGUAGCUGCAGUAUGACCCCUAGCCUGGGAACUUCCAUAUGCUGUGGAUGCAGCUCUAAGAAGAAUGAAUGAAUGAAUAAAUAAAUAAAUAAAUAGGUAAGUAAAUAAAUAAAUUCUGAUAAUUAUUUAGGAAGGAGCUCAUGCCUCCUUCCUCAAGACAGUCCCCCCAGAUAUAUUUAGUGAUCUCAGUUUAGAGGGGACAUCAACAUGGUGUGAGAAAGACAGGUGGUUGCAGAAGUGGUUGCAUGCUAUUUCUAGACAGAGGACUCUGAGGCUAGCAAACAUCCAGCCCUGCCUGGGGAGCAGCUGACUCUUUUUCAGUGUAAUCAGCAUUGAAGCUGGGUAUUGGUGGAACUGGAUCUGGAGAGCUGUUUCAGUCCAUGGGGAGGAUGAAAGAGCGGGCCUCAGAGAAUCAGGUAGGGUGGAGAAGGUUGGUUAGAAGGGGUGAAUAUGAUUACAGUAGAAUGAGACAAUGAACAGCUCAGGGGAGGUCAGCCUAGGUGGGAAAUGGCUGGGGACAAAGUGUACUCUCUCUUAAAAGCUGGAUAGUACAUGAAUAUCCCCAAUUCCCGUCCCCACCCCUGUAGCAGUGUAACUUUGAAAGAUAAGGGAGAGGAAGAAAAUUCUGAACGGCCUUAGUUCAUUCAGAAAUUGGGAUUCCCUCUUUGCUGCCAGUGGAGUGAGUUUUGAAAUAGAAAUUCAGUCAUGGAAAAAAUGAAGUUCCAUCUUUGAUUCACUAAAUGUGUAGUUAGUGAAACUUGAACUUUUUAUACUCAUCAAGGAUUAAGCCCCAUGACUGGCACAGAAUUAGAUCUGUAAAAAGACAGCUGGGGUUGCUAUCAAGAAGGAGAACUCAUAGAGAUAGAAUUUAAGUUUAAGAAAUAAAACUGAGGGAGUUCCUGUUGUGGUGCAGUGGAAAUGAAUCCGACUAGAAUCUGUGAGGGUGUGGGUUCGAUCCAUGGCCUUACUCAGUGGGUCGGGGGUUCUGGCAUUGCCAUGUCGCAAACAUGGCUUGGAUCCCACGUUGCCGUGGCUGUGGCAUAGCCCAGCAGCGAUUGAUCCCUAGCCUGGGAACUUCCAUAUGCUGCAGGUAUGGACCUAAAAAGCAAAAAAACAAAAACACAAACAAACAAAAAAACUGAAAGCUUAUGCUUGGUACAGAGUAGGCUCUCAGUCAAUAUUGAACUUUAUAAGUGAAGAUGGGAGCAAGGUGGCUGAAUUUUAACCUUAUUGUGAUAGGAACAAGACUUCAUCUUUUGUUCCUCACAUAGCAGAGUGUUGGACUCUUUUUCUUUGUAUACAGUUGUUAAAACUAUAUAAAACAUAUAUAGUUAUAUGAUAUUUCUCCAGAAAACCUCAGAGAUUUUUUAGCCACACCAGACAAUAGAUUUGUGCAUGAAAAUUGCCUUUCCAGUCCUUUCAGAACGUGCAUAGUAUAAGUGCUAGUUACCAGGCAGUUAAAGAGGGUUUCCAGUUACCCUAGUAUGUCCUGUUACACUGGAUUAUUUUGCAGUAUUGAUAUUUAAAACUGACUUAUUUCUUUGGAGUUCUAAAAUUUUUGAAUAGGUAAUAAUUCCUGGUUCAGAAAUCACAAACCAUUAAAAAAAAAAAGAUGGUAAAAUGACUUUCUACCUCACAUCCUUCAUCCAUUAAAUUUCAAGCAAAUCUUCCUCCACCCCAAAACAGAGGUUAGUUUGUGGAUAUCUGAAUUUUUUUUUUUUUUUUUUUUUGCUUUUUUGGGCCAAACCUGCAGCAUGUGUAAGUUCCCAGGCUAGGGGCUGCAUAGGAGCUGUAGCUGCCAGCCCACCACAGCCACAGCAAUGCGGGAUCUGAACCAUGUUCAUUACUGCUAAACCAUGUCAGUAACUCCCAGUUUCUGCAUAUUCUUUAUUCAUAUAUAACAAAUACAAACAUAAUGACUUGUGUGUCAUUUUUACACAAAAGAUAGCUUUCAAUA